RNAcentral lists this ribosomal RNA (454 nucleotides) under uncultured bacterium. RNAcentral describes it as "partial 16S ribosomal RNA". It matches the Rfam family "Bacterial small subunit ribosomal RNA", at positions 28 to 507 of the family's 1533-position model. The record is from RNAcentral.
GAUGAACGCUGACAGAAUGCUUAGCACAUGCAAGUCAACUUGAACUUCGGUUUGGGUGGCGGACGGGUGAGUAACGCGUACAGAACUUGCCUCACAGUUAGGGACAACAUUUGGAAACGAAUGCUAAUACCUGAUAUUAUGAUUUUAGGGCAUCCUAGAAUUAUGAAAGCUAUAUGCGCUGUGAGAGAGCUUUGCGUCCCAUUAGCUAGUUGGAGAGGUAACGGCUCACCAAGGCGAUGAUGGGUAGCCGGCCUGAGAGGGUGAACGGCCACAAGGGGACGGAGACACGGCCCUUACUCCUACGGGAGGCAGCAGUGGGGAAUAUUGGACAAUGGACCAAGAGUCUGAUCCAGCAAUUCUGUGUGCACGAUGAAGUUUUUCGGAAUGUAAAGUGCUUUCAGUUGGGAAGAAAAAAAUGACGAUACCAACAGAAGAAGUGACGGCUAAAUACGUG